GAUGAACGCUGGCGGCGUGCCUAAUACAUGCAAGUCGAGCGAACGGACGAGAAGCUUGCUCCUCUGAUGUUAGCGGCGGACGGGUGAGUAACACGUGGAUAACCUACCUAUAAGACUGGGAUAACUUCGGGAAACCGGAGCUAAUACCGGAUAAUAUUUUGAACCGCAUGGUUCAAAAGUGAAAGACGGUCUUGCUGUCACUUAUAGAUGGAUCCACGCUGCAUUAGCUAGUUGGUAAGGUAACGGCUUACCAAGGCAACGAUGCAUAGCCGACCUGAGAGGGUGAUCGGCCACACUGGAACUGAGACACGGUCCAGACUCCUACGGGAGGCAGCAGUAGGGAAUCUUCCGCAAUGGGCGAAAGCCUGACGGAGCAACGCCGCGUGAGUGAUGAAGGUCUUCGGAUCGUAAAACUCUGUUAUUAGGGAAGAACAUAUGUGUAAGUAACUAUGCACAUCUUGACGGUACCUAAUCAGAAAGCCACGGCUAACUACGUG
RNAcentral lists this ribosomal RNA (497 nucleotides) under uncultured bacterium. Its description in RNAcentral is "partial 16S ribosomal RNA". It matches the Rfam family "Bacterial small subunit ribosomal RNA", at positions 28 to 507 of the family's 1533-position model. The record is from RNAcentral.